UGGUGGAGUGAUUUGUCUGCUUAAUUGCGAUAACGAACGAGACCUUAACCUGCUAAAUAGUCACGCGAACGUUCCUGUUCGUGGCCGACUUCUUAGAGGGACUUUUGUGUGCUUAACCAAAGGAAGUUCGAGGCAAUAACA
RNAcentral lists this ribosomal RNA (141 nucleotides) under uncultured eukaryote. RNAcentral describes it as "partial 18S ribosomal RNA". It matches the Rfam family "Eukaryotic small subunit ribosomal RNA", at positions 1299 to 1458 of the family's 1831-position model. The record is from RNAcentral.